Molecule: long non-coding RNA, 378 nt
Filed under: Salvia miltiorrhiza (redroot sage)
Lineage: Eukaryota; Viridiplantae; Streptophyta; Magnoliopsida; Lamiales; Lamiaceae
Description: long non-coding RNA (SMIL_LNC009846)
Source: RNAcentral
CCAGGUCCAACACAAUUACUUCUCAGUCACACGGAAUUACUUUUCCGAACUUGGUAACUCUUUGUUUAUUGGGCUGCAAAAGGUACUUCUGGUCUGAGAUCUCCACUUUUUUUUUUUCUUCACAUCUAAAAUUUAUCCUUGAGAAUAUGCUGAAGCUUCCCAAGCUUGGGGUCUUCCUCCUAAAAUCAACACUUUUUCUUAAAAUCUUUUUUUACACGAAACAAGACCAUUCAAACACAUUCGACCUUAUUCAAUAUUCAUCCUUUGAACGAUCCUAAUGUCGUACUUCUUGUAUCUAGCGUUCAUUCUCAUAAUGCUUGUAAUGCAUUUAUGUAAUUCGAAGCACUCUCUCACGCCUUUACAGGAAAUAGAUUUUGC